This 501-nucleotide ribosomal RNA is filed under the name uncultured bacterium. Its description in RNAcentral is "partial 16S ribosomal RNA". It matches the Rfam family "Bacterial small subunit ribosomal RNA", at positions 28 to 523 of the family's 1533-position model. The record is from RNAcentral.
GUUGAACGCUGGCGGCAGGCUUAACACAUGCAAGUCGAGCGGGGGAAGGUAGCUUGCUACUGGACCUAGCGGCGGACGGGUGAGUAAUGCUUAGGAAUCUGCCUAUUAGUGGGGGACAACAUCUCGAAAGGGAUGCUAAUACCGCAUACGUCCUACGGGAGAAAGCAGGGGAUCUUCGGACCUUGCGCUAAUAGAUGAGCCUAAGUCGGAUUAGCUAGUUGGUGGGGUAAAGGCCUACCAAGGCGACGAUCUGUAGCGGGUCUGAGAGGAUGAUCCGCCACACUGGGACUGAGACACGGCCCAGACUCCUACGGGAGGCAGCAGUGGGGAAUAUUGGACAAUGGGGGGAACCCUGAUCCAGCCAUGCCGCGUGUGUGAAGAAGGCCUUAUGGUUGUAAAGCACUUUAAGCGAGGAGGAGGCUACUCUAAUUAAUACCUAGGGAUAGUGGACGUUACUCGCAGAAUAAGCACCGGCUAACUCUGUGCCAGCCGCCGCGGUAA